CUGUCGGCUUAUCCCUAUCCUCAUACCCAUUGAAGCUAUCACACUCCUCACCCCUCACAUUUCCAAUAACCACCACAAGCAUACACACUUAUCUCAUCUCUCUCUCUCUCUAAACCUCCUUUCAUACCCAUUUUUCUAAUAUACCCGUCACCACCCGUUUCUCUCUCUAAACUUAUUCACACCCAUCUCCUGCACCCAGCAGCCGCAAACCACCCAUUUUCCAUCUCAACCCAUUCGGCUGCUCUAUGAUUGAUGGACCUCAUGGUGACAUGGGUCUCACGACUCUUAAAAAAAUAGGUUUUCGUUGAAGAAGCUCCAUGUCAUUCUAUGGUAUUUGGAGGACGCCCCAGCCCACGAGCAAGUACCUGCUGAAGCCUUUUUGUUUCCCGCUGAUGGCAUUGUUUAAACAAAUUGGUGGAUAAAAGUCAAAGACAUGAGUUUUUUAUAUUAUUUUUUAUUCUCCAUUAGUGGCACGGUUCUAGCAGGCUUCAAGGUGGUUUAUUAUUAUUUUUUCUCUUUUUUCCCACGUGCCAUCUUCUUAAUUCCACUUUACAUGUUAAAAACUUUUUUUUUUUUUUUAAGUCAUGUUAUUAAAUAAUUCUUUUAAAAUCCCAACAUUUCAGAUUCAUUCAUUUAUUUUUUAUUUGUCUAUUUAUUUAUUUAUUAUAUUAUUUAAGAAUAUAUAAAUAUACGUAUCCUUUCUAAAAUAAUAUUGUAAAAUGUGAUUUUUAAAUUUAUUUUACGAAACUUCAAAUCUAAUAUUCAAUUUUCCAAAAUUCCAAUAUUUUAAAUUUAAUUUUUUCAAAAUUCAAUUCUCGAAAUAAUUUUCUAGAACUCUAACUUUAAAUUUAAUUUUCCCAAAAUUCAAAUCUUCAGUUCCAAUAUUCCAAAAAUUUCACUAUUCACGUCAUUCGUUAAAACAUUAUUUUAUUAUUAUUAUUAUUCUAUAUUUAUUUAUUUAUUUCUUUCAAAAAUUCAAAUCAUUAAAAUUUAAUUCUUGAAAAAUCUGACUAUCGAAUUUAAUUUUCAAUCUCAAAUAUUCCACUAUUCACGUUCAUUCGUUUAAAUAUUAUUCUCAUUAUUAUUAUUAUUAUUAUUUUAUUCAUUUAUUUUACAAAUUCUAAUAAUUAAAGUUCAAUUUUUCAAAAUUCCGUUUUCCGAAUUUAAUUUUCAAUCUAAAAAAUUUCACUAUUCACACUCAGUUGUUUAAUGAUUAUUUAAAUAAUUUCUCAAAAUCUCAAUCUCUAAAUUCAAUAUUCCAUCUCUAAAAUUCUGUUUUUCGCAAUUAUUUACCUAAUCUUUAUUAUUUCAUCAUUAUUAUUAUUCCAUUAAUUUAUUUAUUCACUUAUUUGUUUAUUAAAAUUUCGUCUUUAAAUAAUUCUUCAAAAUUCCGAUUCCCAAAUUUAGUUAUCUGAAAUUCCAAUUCUUUUCAAUUUUAAUUUCUAAAAUUCUCAUUGUUAUAUUUAAUUUCUAAAAAUCCAAUUUUCAAAUAAUCUUUAAAACUCCAAUUUUCAAAUAAAUUUCAAAAAUCCAGUUUUCCCUCAAACAGUUUUAAUUUCUAUUUGGUGACGCAUGUGAUAUGUUUUGUGCUCUUUAUUAUACACUGACCCCAUUUUUAUGAUAGUGCAUUGCUCGUUCGUAGCCCAUGUAUACAUCCCUUCCCAUUCUGGUAAUUUUCUAUGCAUGUUUUGAUUCCCAUGUGUGCAUGGUCAAUUUGAGUAUCCGUUGAUUUUCUUAUUGAUCACCACGUCAGCUUCAUCUUAUUAGUAGAGAUCCGACUUUAGGGACUUAGAGGGGUGCUACAGUCUUUACCGUACCUUCCCAAUAAGUAACCUGACCCCCGAGCCCGAUCUGGUUUUUCGUAGAUCACUUUUUCCAAAAAUAAAGAGUCACACUUAGGGUUUUCUUUCUUAUUUUGUUUACCCUUUUAAAAUAAAACAAAAAUAAGUGGCGACUCCAAAUCAUUUUUCUUAAUCAAUAAAAUCAUUUUUCAAAAUAAAAAUUGAGUUCGCCAUCGAAUGGGAAACGCAUGAGCCGAAAUACGGGAUCCACAUGAUGUUUUCCUAGUAUUAAGUUAUUGACUUAAAACUUAUUACUUAAUUCUUAUUUAAAUAUUAAGGUUAUUUGAUAAAAUUAACUUAAAAUUUAUUCUAAAUCAUCAAAUUAAUAUAUUUAUCAUCAUAUUUAAGUUAAAAUAUAUACACUUCAAUAUAUAUAAAACAUGAUAAUUUAUAUAAUACACCCCUAAUUAUUUUUGUUAUUAACUCAUAUAAAUAUAAAAUAUUAAUAUUAACUCUAUCAUUAGCUCCCAAGGAUAUAGAGAAUAAGGAAGUUAGUUAUACGACUAUUUUUUAAAUCAAUUCUGAAAAAUAGUUUUUUAAAACUAUUCUUUAAUAUUUUAUAGAAUAAAGUCUUUUUAGGGACCUAAAAUGUUUUUAAUAUUUUUAUAUAUAUUUAAAAAAUAAUUUUUAUAUCUAUAAUUUUAUUUUUAAUUAUUAUACAUAUUUAUAUAUAUAUUUUAAAAUAACUCUAAAAAAAAUAAGUAAAAACAACUAAAAGAUAUUAUCUGAAAACAUCUAUGUUUUUUGGUUGCUAAAUGUGUUUUUCAAUUUUUUUUGUUUUGGAAAAUAAAACAUUGUUCUUGAAAACAAUUUCCAAACAAACCCUUAACUUUCCUUUUCACCAGCCUUCACACAUGACCAUGUGUGAUCGGAAAUAUCGAGCAUUCUAGGAGUGUAUUAGAAGAUAAUAACCAUAGAACAUUCUAAGUAGAGAUCUCACACAUCAAAGGUCACUAGUUUAAAAAGUUCCAAUGCUCUUGGUCAAGGUUCCUGUAUAUGGCUGCAGACCCCUCAUCCGUGAGGGCCUUUGGUGGACUAAUGAGCGCAUCACCGCAUGGGCAGAGGAACCCGUACUUGCUGUCUCUAAGGACUUGAAGACUCGCCACAGGUGAGUCUUGGAAGAAGAAUUGUAAGAGCAAAUGGGGUUCGUAUGUGCAGGCAGUCCACAAGUUAACUUUGGCUCCGAAAAAGGUGGGUAAUAGUUUUACUGCCAUAUCAACCCUUGUUCACCAACAUAUUUCUUAUAUAAUCUUUUUCCAAGCCUAAACUCUCUCCUAUGGCUUCUUCCAGUCUGUACCCAAGUUGUCGAACCCCCACACAGUAAUUGCUCACAAUGUCCCUAUCUAUGCCAGAGAACUUGAAAUACUUGGAUUUUCUCUUACUUCUUAUGCCUUCAUUUUGGAGAGGAAAAAAAAGAGGAAACUGUAAUGUAACCAAUUAUAUGUCUAUUUGUUGAAUAGAAGAGGCCGGCCUAUGAGUUGUAGGUCACAACAGCCAUGGUGCCCUAUUUUAUAACCUUCAACUAGACAUGGAGUAAAAGGGGUCCAAAUAUCACAAUGCAUAAGAUCAAAGCGUGAAGCAGACAAUUUGUUUGAAGAAAUGAAAGGCAAAGGAAAAUUAAACAUGGUAAAGAAUUAUCACAAAACUGAACCAUCUGUAAUUCAUUUCAUAAUGUAGGAAACUUACAUGAAAAAUGCCAAAGUUCUGAUUAAGUCAAAGAGAUAUUACAGUGAAAAGAAAAAACAAAGUUCUAACCAAAACGAAAAAUGCCAAGGUUCUGAUACAUUACAGCGAAAAGAAAAAACAAAGUGCUAACCAAAACGAAAAAUGCCAAAGCUCUGAUUGUGUGAAAGAAGCAUCAUCACGGGGAAACGAAAAACAUCUGGCUCAAGUCCAGAGUGUAGAGAUUAUUUGCCUGUCUACCGAUCCCAAUCUUUCGGCCUUGUGUAGGGUCCUCAAUAACAUAAUGAUCAGAAUGAAAACUAACAACAUAGGGAUGUUGCUGAGUGAGGGCACUAAUAGAAAGCAGAUUGCAAUGGAAUUGGGGAACAAACAGAACAUUUUGGAGAGUAAGAUCAUUACACAAACGAACAGACCCUGUUCCACCUACAGGAACUGUAUGUCCAUUUGGUAGAGCAACGAAAGAAUUGAAAGUCGGAGUGAAGGGUUCAAAGGAGGCUCGAGAGUAACAAACAUGGUGUGUAGCACCUGAAUCCAAAAUCCACAAAGAGGAUGAAUUGGAAGAGGAAGGAAUGGUCGAGCCACUGAGGAGGCCACUGAAGUCGAACAUGGAAGGUCCAGCCAGUUGUGGACUAAACAACACUUUUAUCUCUGAUGGUUCAUAUGAAUGUAACUUCUCCUCUUCCACAGGUAUCAGGAAAAGCUUAUUAGCCACAUGUGGCGUUUUCUCGCCAGCUUCCUGCAGACACCCGAUGAUUAAUAAACUGCUAACCAAAAUCACAUUGCUUAAAAUUCCUAAUCACAGGUCAGAUCCACACUAUAUUUAGAUAAUAUUGAUCUAUUUACAGUUUUACAUUAUUCUCGAUAAGGCGUGAAAUUAAAUUAAAUUUGAAUACCUUUUCUAAGAUGCGAAGCUUCAGACAAAGAUUGGAGCAUUUGCCAGCAAUGUUUGCCGUAGGAAGACUGGUAGACACCCUCAUUGUACUUGACGAGUCAUUUGAAUUUAAGUCCACGUUCUCUUCCUCAGGUGACGGUGAAACCCGAUAAGCCCCAUGUGAGUGUUUCUUGGUGACUUUCCUUAAGAACUCAGAAGUAAUAUCCUGCUAACCAAAAUCACAUCAGUUUUACAUUAUUCUAGAUAAGGCAUGAAAUUAAAUUAAAUUUGAAUACCUUAAAGAAGCCAGAAGUCAGACCAAGGUUGGAGCAUUUGCCAACAGCGUUUGCCGAAGGAAGACUGGUAGACCCCCUCAUUGUAUAUGACGAGUCAUUUGAAUUUAAGUCCACGUUCUCUUCCUCAGGUAACGGUGAAACCCGAUAAGCCCCAUGUGAGUGUUUCUUGGUGACUUUCCUUAAGAACUCAGAAGUAAUAUCCUGCUAACCAAAAUCACAUCAGUUUUACAUUAUUCUAGAUAAGGCGUGAAAUUAAAUAGUGAUGGCUUCAAACACUACCCAGAAGGUAAGUAGAAAAAGCCUUCUUCAACCUCCUUCCAGCAAAUCUCUGGAUAUCAUCAACCCCACCAUCCAAAACACCCAAUACAAGGUUCAAGGUAACCAUUUCUUCACCCAUUUUAGUUAUUCCAAUUGGGUAUAGCUUCCCUAAAAUCCCUAGCCCAUAAAAGCAGUAGAUUAAGGAAAGAACCCUUGACCACCGGAUUUUUUUCAUUUUACAUUUCAGAUUGUCAAUCAUAAACGAAGGGGUGACAAAUUCCAUGGGAAAGCCUCCAAAUUUGCUCUUUCUCUGCUCUCAGAUCUAGCAAAUUGAGUUUGAUUUUAGAGGGUUAAAGCUAACACGUUUUCAGAUCUAGCAACAUCAGGCUGAGAAGGGGAGACACAAGAACAAGGAGAACACCCUUUUGAAAACAAAGAAGAACAACUCUUUUUUCCCUCUAAAUACUGCAAAAUAACAGGAAAAACACCUUGAAGUUGUUCUCAGAAAAUGGGGUUUGGAGAACAUGGAAAACACGGACAACAAAAACAUCAUUCCUUGCCAAACAUGUUUUUAGUGUUUUUCUGUUCAAGAAAACAAAAAAAACAGUUCUCAAGAACACUUCCCAAACAGGCACUAAAUUAAAUUUGAAUACCUUAAAGAUGCUGGAAACGCGACC
This 5626-nucleotide long non-coding RNA is filed under the name Vitis vinifera (wine grape). Its description in RNAcentral is "long non-coding RNA (VVIN_LNC004368)". The record is from RNAcentral. Lineage: Eukaryota; Viridiplantae; Streptophyta; Magnoliopsida; Vitales; Vitaceae.